This 1012-nucleotide ribosomal RNA is filed under the name uncultured organism. RNAcentral's name for it is "bacterial SSU rRNA". It matches the Rfam family "Bacterial small subunit ribosomal RNA", at positions 84 to 1129 of the family's 1533-position model. The record is from RNAcentral.
CUUCGGGUUGAGUGGCGGACGGGUGAGUAACGCGUGAGAAUCUGCCUUGGGGUCGGGGACAACCACUGGAAACGGUGGCUAAUACCGGAUAAGCCUUUGGGUAAAAGAUUUAUUGCCCCAAGAGGAGCUCGCGUCUGAUUAGCUAGUUGGUGAGGUAAAAGCUCACCAAGGCAGCGAUCAGUAGCUGGUCUGAGAGGACGAUCAGCCACACUGGGACUGAGACACGGCCCAGACUCCUACGGGAGGCAGCAGUGGGGAAUUUUCCGCAAUGGGCGAAAGCCUGACGGAGCAAGACCGCGUGAGGGAGGAAGGCUCUUGGGUUGUAAACCUCUUUUCUCAGGGAAGAAGCUCUGACGGUACCUGAGGAAUCAGCCUCGGCUAACUCCGUGCCAGCAGCCGCGGUAAUACGGAGGAGGCAAGCGUUAUCCGGAAUUAUUGGGCGUAAAGCGUCCGCAGGUGGCGAUUCAAGUCUGCUGUCAAAGCACGGGGCUUAACUCCGUUAAGGCAGUGGAAACUGAAUAGCUAGAGUGCCGUAGGGGUAGAGGGAAUUCCCGGUGUAGCGGUGAAAUGCGUAGAGAUCGGGAAGAACAUCGGUGGCGAAAGCGCUCUACUGGACGGCAACUGACACUCAGGGACGAAAGCUAGGGGAGCGAAUGGGAUUAGAUACCCCAGUAGUCCAAGCUGUAAACGAUGGAUACUAGGUGUAGCUCUUAUCGACCCGAGCUGUGCCGAAGCUUACGCGUUAAGUAUCCCGCCUGGGGAGUACGCACGCAAGUGUGAAUCUCAAAGGAAUUGUCGGGGCCUUCCACAAUCGGUGGAGUAUGUGGUUUAAUUCGAUGCAACGCGAAGAACCUUACCAGGGCUUGACAUGUCCGGUAUCCCGGUGUAAGCUGGGAGUCCCUUCGGGAGCCGGAACACAGGUGGUUCAUGGCUGUCGUCAGCUCGUGUCGUGAGAUGUUGGGUUAAGUCCCGCAACGUGCGCAACCCUCGUCUUUAGUUGCCAGCAUUAAGU